UAGAGUGAGGUUGGGGUUAAGUUUAUAAUUUAAAGUUAGUUAAUUACUUUACAUAAUUGUUAGACAAUUCAUUAACUUGUACUAUACUAUAUAUUAUCUUUUAAUUCAUUUGUAUAUUCAUUCGUAUUCAAUGUUCCAAUUUAUUAAUUUUGUAUACUAUAUGUUUAUCAACACUAAUAUAAGUUUCAUACUAUUUUUCACUAAUAUAAGUUUCAUACUAUAUGAAUAAGUAUGUGGUCUAUAAGUGUGUGACAUGGACUUUAUUGCGUGAUGGAAUUGUAAAAAGUUGUUUUUCACUUUUGUCCAUAGCUAUAAUCAACAACGUCAUCUAUUUUUCCUUUUUCACUGGGUACUUGCAAGUGAAGGCACUUACAAUAAUAAGUGUGUGUUUGAGGUUGGAGCAAGACAUCUUUUUAAAAAAUAUUGACAAA
Molecule: long non-coding RNA, 431 nt
Filed under: Brassica napus (rape)
Lineage: Eukaryota; Viridiplantae; Streptophyta; Magnoliopsida; Brassicales; Brassicaceae
Description: long non-coding RNA (BNAP_LNC024080)
Source: RNAcentral